AUGGGACGGGGUGACAGGUUAAAGAAGUACGGAUCAAGAGAUGUUGAAGGCUCGACGAGCGGUAGCAGGAACAGCAAAGGCGGCUCAACUCCUCCACCACCUCCAAGCAAGACGGGAAACCAUUCCAAGGGCGCGGAGUACACACGCCGGUCACCACCGUUGCCUAGCGCCCCGCUGCUUGUACUGAAGUCGCAUAGCAGAGUGCCACGGACUACGCGUAGCUACCCGAACCACAACUCAAAGAAUUCUGACCAGACAUCCAUCUCUCUCGAUGCCGAUGCUCCACCACUAGGGAACCUCGAGGACAAACUUGAGGACGUGUUGUCGUUCGUGCCUAUGAGCCGCGGUAUGGAGCAACUCUUAGACGAGGUGAUGGAAAACAUGGACCAAGAUGAGCCGGCCUCAAAAUCUACACCUCCGGCCAAGUCUAGUUCGGUGGUGAAGCACACGCCCCCGGCGGUGAGUGAUCCAGCUGCGAAUUCUUCAAUUGUGGCAGGGAGCGAUCUCGUCGUAAAACCCGCCUCCCUGGUGACAAAGCCCGCUUCUUUAACCACAUCAACAAGCACCCCCGAAGUGGACAAAAAGCGGUCAUCGGGUGCUAUCAGUGACAAGGACGUUGGGAUAACUGCAAAUAAACCAAGGCCGCCUGCUUGCGAUGUUUCCAGCAAAUCAACUAAUCUAGAAGGCUUUUAUUCCCCUGAGGCAAAGGAGCUCCGUGUAUUAAUUGAGCAACACCAAAAUAUUCUUGCUAGAGAAAACACUCUGCUCGAGAAGCUCAAAGUCCCUCCGACUAAUAACAUCUCAACACCAAGCCUUGUUCUCCCGCCCGGAAUAGCAGCAAAGUACAUCUCAAUAGGACUCGAGGAUAUACAAGAGGCACUAAGGGAGCAGCCGAUCAAUGAGGAGCUAACCAUAACUAAAAUCGAGUCUGUGAUAAGUAUGUGGAAGAUCCCGUAUGUGAACGAGGUCCUGCCAGACCUUGAGAUUCUGAUUCGACACCUUGAAGCAGUGGUGGCUUGUCUGGGCGGAAAAGGUGGUCUUGCCACUUCCCACACAUCGGCACCCGCACCGGCGCAAGUGUCAUCUCUGUUGGAGAAACUCGAUGCAGCUCAUGCGGGGAUCACUCAAGGACUUUGCCGCCUCGAGAAGGAAGGGCCGCGCCUAGAGGGGCACCUUGCCGACCUCGCCUCCAUCUGCAACAGACAAAAGAAGUUGGCCGAAGAACAUCGGAUGCUUGCCGGCAAACAUCAGCAGCUUGCCGAGGAGUACAAGGCCCUCUGUGAGAAGGAAACCGAGAUGGCGGCACUGGCUGAAAAGCGCACGUGCGUCCUAGCUGACAUGAUGACUUCUAGCUCCCGCCAUCUUGAAGCUCAUGAGGAUGCAGUCCGGAGUUCGUCACAGGUGGCCGAGUCAUACACAAGACGCCGUGCGGAGGCGGCUGCCUUCCUGGCCGCCGGCGGAACGCUUCCGGAGAUCGCGACGAUCCUAGCAUAUAAAGCUCCUGAGUGA
This 1509-nucleotide ribosomal RNA is filed under the name Triticum aestivum (bread wheat). RNAcentral describes it as "partial small subunit ribosomal RNA". The record is from RNAcentral. Lineage: Eukaryota; Viridiplantae; Streptophyta; Magnoliopsida; Poales; Poaceae.